UACGUAGGGGGCUAGCGUUGUCCGGAUUUAUUGGGCGUAAAGAGCGUGUAGGCGGCCAAGUAGGUCUGGUGUGAAAACUCGAGGCUUAACCUCGAGAUGUCAUCGGAAACCAUCUGGCUAGAGUCCGGAAGAGGAGAGUGGAAUUCCUGGUGUAGCGGUGAAAUGCGCAGAUAUCAGGAAGAACACCUAUGGCGAAGGCAGCUCUCUGGGACGGUACUGACGCUGAGACGCGAAAGCGUGGGGAGCGAACAGG
This 253-nucleotide ribosomal RNA is filed under the name uncultured bacterium. RNAcentral's name for it is "partial 16S ribosomal RNA". It matches the Rfam family "Bacterial small subunit ribosomal RNA", at positions 524 to 776 of the family's 1533-position model. The record is from RNAcentral.